RNAcentral lists this ribosomal RNA (464 nucleotides) under uncultured bacterium. RNAcentral's name for it is "bacterial SSU rRNA". It matches the Rfam family "Bacterial small subunit ribosomal RNA", at positions 28 to 507 of the family's 1533-position model. The record is from RNAcentral.
GACGAACGCUGGCGGCGUGCCUAACACAUGCAAGUCGAGCGAAUGAAGUUCCUUCGGGAAUGGAUUUAGCGGCGGACGGGUGAGUAACACGUGGGCAACCUGCCUCAUAGAGGGGAAUAGCCUUCCGAAAGGGAGAUUAAUACCGCAUAAGAUUGUAGUAUCGCAUGAUACAGCAAUUAAAGGAGCAAUCCGCUAUGAGAUGGGCCCGCGGCGCAUUAGCUAGUUGGUGAGGUAACGGCUCACCAAGGCGACGAUGCGUAGCCGACCUGAGAGGGUGAUCGGCCACAUUGGGACUGAGACACGGCCCAGACUCCUACGGGAGGCAGCAGUGGGGAAUAUUGCACAAUGGGGGAAACCCUGAUGCAGCAACGCCGCGUGAGUGAUGACGGCCUUCGGGUUGUAAAGCUCUGUCUUCAGGGACGAUAAUGACGGUACCUGAGGAGGAAGCCACGGCUAACUACGUG